AACGUGGGCGUGGAUUUCGGAAGAAAGAUGCUGAAGAUCCCUGCCUGGACGGACACGCACACAAAAGCAUCCACUAUCCAGCACCACCAGCACCACCCUGAAGAAGGGAAGAGAAAGAAAGAAAAACCAACUCCAGGGUGCAGGCCGGCCUGCUUCCGGCAGUCUAAAAGCAGACUGACCGCCAUUCUCUCCUUCCCCACCCCCCUAGCCCCGGUGCCCAGCGCGACGCCAAGCUCAACCUGGAUCUGUUCUGAAUGGGGGGAAAGUGAAAUGCCACAAGAUCAGUAGCAAGUAGCAGCUGCAGCGUUUCUCUCCUGGGAACCCCACUGCUUAGAAGCCUCCCGAGUGAUGUUUGUUUAACCAACGGCUUUCAAAGUAAACAGAGGCGAAGCGCUCCAAAGAAGUUGAAAUAUAACCCUUACAAGAAUUUGGGGCCAGGGUGCUGGCGGAAAAAGUAAAAAAAAAAAAAAAAAAUUUUUUUUGUUUUAAAUAAUAAAGCUUCCAUCCCAAAUAAGAGCCCACCACAGUGCCUAAAGGAAACUAGAAGGGUCAUAAAAAUAUAAAUUUAUCGAAAGGAUUCAUUGCAGUAAAGUGACCUCAAAAUCAUCCUUCGUCCACAAACACACACCUGCGGGGAGCGGGGUUGGUUGUCAGUGACUUGAAGGGGCACACUACUACUCGACUUUAGGGAAGUGGGCGAAAACAAUCGAAGGGAGGUGCUUUCCCAGCCCUGCAGUAGAAAGGAGCAGGCAGGGCGCUCUGCGCCAGCCCUGGCUUUGCCUCAGGCACCGAACUUUCCAAUAUCAAGAUAUUAACAGAUGGUGGUGAGCACAUGGAGGGCUGUUACUUACAUAAUCCAGCCACUCCGCCCAGCCGCGCUGAAGCCGGCGAGGCGCCCGCCAGGCCGCGCGCGCGCCUUGCGAGGGGUGCUGCUGUCCCCCGAAAUAACGUGCUUUCCCCUCCAACCCCCACCUGGUUCUUUGGGGGCCAGGGUUUGGAGAGGUCGUGCUUUCAGAAAAACAUUCGCAUCGAUCGGGGCAUGCUUUACCUUCUUCAGUCCACAGUAAAGAAGCUGGAGACCCAAGGGCAGAGGGAAGCGGAGGGAACGCUUUCGGGGAGAACCGGACGCCGUCCCUCGAUGGCAAACCUUUCCUACAGAAGCUGCCCAUCAGACCAGUGA
Molecule: long non-coding RNA, 1180 nt
Filed under: Felis catus (domestic cat)
Lineage: Eukaryota; Metazoa; Chordata; Mammalia; Carnivora; Felidae
Description: lncRNA (ENSFCAG00000046967.1)
Source: RNAcentral